GUGCCAGCAGCCGCGGUAAGACGAACCGAGCGAACGUUGUUCGGAAUCACUGGGCUUAAAGGGCGCGUAGGCGGGCUGCCGCGUCCGGGGUGAAAGCCUCCCGCUCAACGGGAGAACGGCCUCGGAUACGGGCGGCCUCGAGGGGGGUAGGGGCGUGCGGAACUGUGGGUGGAGCGGUGAAAUGCGUUGAUAUCCACAGGAACUCCGGUGGCGAAGGCGGCACGCUGGACCCUCACUGACGCUGAGGCGCGAAAGCCAGGGGAGCGAACGGGAUUAGAUACCCCGGUAGUCCUGGCCCUAAACGUUGGGGACUAGGUAGUGGGCCGGCAUGGGCUCACUGCCGGAGCGAAAGUGCUAAGUCCCCCGCCUGGGGAGUAUGGUCGCAAGGCUGAA
This 393-nucleotide ribosomal RNA is filed under the name uncultured bacterium. Its description in RNAcentral is "bacterial SSU rRNA". It matches the Rfam family "Bacterial small subunit ribosomal RNA", at positions 505 to 898 of the family's 1533-position model. The record is from RNAcentral.